This 305-nucleotide ribosomal RNA is filed under the name uncultured bacterium. RNAcentral describes it as "bacterial SSU rRNA". It matches the Rfam family "Bacterial small subunit ribosomal RNA", at positions 333 to 656 of the family's 1533-position model. The record is from RNAcentral.
UCUUCCCUACGGGGGGCAGCAGUGGGGAAUAUUGCACAAUGGGGGAAACCCUGAUGCAGCAACGCCGCGUGAGUGAAGAAGUAUUUCGGUAUGUAAAGCUCUAUCAGCAGGGAAGAAGAUGACGGUACCUGAUUAAGAAGCCCCGGCUAACUACGUGCCAGCAGCCGCGGUAAUACGGAGGAUGCGAGCGUUAUCCGGAUUUAUUGGGUUUAAAGGGUGCGCAGGCGGCACGGCAAGCCGGCGGUCAAAUCGCGGGGCUCAACCCCGCCCAGCCGUCGGAACUGCCGGGCUAGAGUGGGCGAGAA